GACGAACGCUGGCGGCGUGCUUAACACAUGCAAGUCGAACGGAAAGGCCUAGCUUGCUGGGUACUCGAGUGGCGAACGGGUGAGUAACACGUGGGUGAUCUGCCCCUGACUUUGGGAUAAGCCUGGGAAACUGGGUCUAAUACCGGAUAUUCAUUUUUCCUCGCAUGGGGAUUUGUGGAAAGCUUUUGCGGUUGGGGAUGGGCCCGCGGCCUAUCAGCUUGUUGGUGGGGUAAUGGCCUACCAAGGCGACGACGGGUAGCCGACCUGAGAGGGUGAUCGGCCACACUGGGACUGAGACACGGCCCAGACUCCUACGGGAGGCAGCAGUGGGGAAUAUUGCACAAUGGGCGCAAGCCUGAUGCAGCGACGCCGCGUGAGGGAUGACGGCCUUCGGGUUGUAAACCUCUUUCAGCUCCGACGAGGCGCAAGUGACGGUAGGAGCAGAAGAAGCACCGGCCAACUACGUG
Molecule: ribosomal RNA, 467 nt
Filed under: uncultured bacterium
Lineage: Bacteria
Description: partial 16S ribosomal RNA
Rfam family: Bacterial small subunit ribosomal RNA
Source: RNAcentral